Molecule: non-coding RNA, 3677 nt
Organism: Struthio camelus australis
Lineage: Eukaryota; Metazoa; Chordata; Aves; Struthioniformes; Struthionidae
Source: RefSeq, a predicted model, not a curated record
UGUAGCUCAACUUCAUCGCUUCUUUGUCACACCAACCCCUCUUGCCUUCUCCUCAUCUCUUGCUGAGACUGGCUGAGUUAGUCACGCUGUAGAGAGGUGCCAGGUUGCACGGGUAGGGAGGACAGCAGUGAAGCUUGGAUCAAAGUGUCUUUGAAGAGCAGACAUGAAGAAAGUGUCCUCAAAGGACCCAGAAAGCACCCCUCCUUAGCGUGCCACCUGCUUUUGGCCAUGGUUACAGACAGGAUGGCAGCCAGAUGGGCCACUCUGUGCCAGUUUAGCUUUUCUUACACAUCUCCCCUGUUGCAAGGAUGUGCUGGGAAGACUGCUCUCGUUCAUGUGGCAUCUGGUAGAGCAAAAGGGUCCUUGGGAACUUUCCACCUCCUUCAUGAAGGUGAUCCUGCAGGCACAGUUCAGCCCCAGCACAGCAAGGCUCACGGGAGCUGCCACGCGAGGGUCUGAUUCAUCGCUCGAAGAAGGACUAAGCAGCACUUGCCGCUUCGGCAGCAACGCCGGGCUGCAGAGAACCUGCUCCGGCGGCUGCAGCAGCUCUUGUAAGAGCUGAGCUGCAGUCACGGUUGGGCAGCGUUGCGUGGGGCUGAUUUCACUGUCAUUUGCACAUGUCUGGCAGGUGGACCAUGAGCCACUGAAGCAGCCCUGAGCCCCACCCUCGAGCCUCCCACCUUGCGAUAAGAAAAGCGCCGCUUCGCUUGUAGAGCCGAGGGGCUCUCAGCACUGGAGGCAGAAAGCGGGCAGGGGAAACCGCUGAGUAGUCACCCUGCAAGGGCAGGUAAAGCUUAUGACCCCGAACCAGUGAGCUGACACCAUCACCUGCAUGUCACACGUUCUGGAGGUGCUGCUAUGUUUCUUCGCACCGUUGGGGCAGCUGACUGCAUCUCUGAAUUCCCCUGACCAAGACACAAGAGCCUGCGGACGCCCAUACGCCAGGCAGCUCAGAGUCACCUCCGGCAAGCUUCUCCACCUCGGAGAGCAGGGCGCAGGCCUGAUGUUUCUAGGAAAGCAACUGCACAGGUUCUGGAGGUCAAGGACCCCCGAGCCUCCAGAGCGUGACAGGAGAGGAGCUGGGAACACUGCUGCUAGCAGGCUUUCGGGUGCCGGUGACAGACAGCGCGCUUCCUUCCCCACAGCACACCUGGGGAGCUCGCUGCCUGGAAGCUUCAGGCCAGCAGCGUAGGCAACGAGAAGAGGGGAAGAAGCACACGAGCUCUCUCAAGAGACCCUUUCUUUGGCGCUGACUUUACUUUCUUGCGAAACGGCAGCUGCACGCUUUCACUUUUGUGCCACAGAUAAGCAUCGCCCAGAAACAGGGGCUCGUCAAAGGGGUGCACCGCAGGCUGGGACGAUCUGGUGGGGGGCAACGGGCUCAUCAGGCGCAUUUGGGAGUCAUCUGCAUGGUACCGGGGAGGUUGGUAGCAAGGCUCAGGGCUGGACCUGGCUUGGGCAAAACCCUUUGCUACGCUGAAACACUUUUGGGUGCUCAGGCGAGAUAGCAUCUCGGAGAGGUCAGCUAUUCCCUGUGCUACUUUCUGUCUUCUUUAAGGGCAGCAUGAUAAUGAAGAUAACAUCAAUCUGUCGCUAAGAGAGACAUUCAGGUCAUGUGUGACACUAGCUGGGGGGGGGGCAUUAACCCUUUAGGUGCCGGGCUCGCCUAUAAAGGCAUCAGUAACUUUUUAACCAGGCCCAGACCAAAGGACAGCACUCCAACUGCAAUAUCGGCCCUGCAGAGAGGAGGUCACGGUUCGGUUCCCCGAGCGGUGGCAAAUCCACUUGCAAGCCACUUUGUCUCUCUUGUCCCUCUUACCUCUGCUCUGCUCCGUCUAUUCAGCUCUUUAGAGCAGCAGCUCGGCACACCAGCCCCGCCGCCGGGGUUCUAGGUAUUGCGGCGAUGCAGAUAACGCUGCGAGAUGGAAAGCCCCAGCCUGCACAGAAGAUUUUGAGGUCCUACACGCCGCAGAGCAAACAAACACCACAGCUCGCCUAUAAACCCACGCAAGUGCCUCGGGGUGCUCAAGAAAAGCUGAAAACAAUUCAGCCCAGCGUGGCAACUGCAAACAACCACAGGGCCAGAGGGAGGAUUUGAACCUCCUCUGGACCUGCAUGACUAGGAGGACAGCAGCAGAAGUAGGUCAGAGCGGUGGAAAAAUAAAAAUAGGGCAGAAAGGACAAAGAGCAGUGCGGUCGACCUGCCCUCUCUACGGGCAGGACACUUCUCUGCCCCAGGCUGUCAGCGUUUAUCUGCGCAACGUGGAGUAUCACAAAGGAUGCGGGUGGUUGGGGCACCUGUAGGAGCCAGCAGCUUGCAGGAUCCAGCUCUGACACAGUCAAAGGCAGGACUGCAGGUGGCACAGAGGCAACGCUGAGCUGUUUAAGCCAGCUGGGCUCCAGGGCUGAGGUAUCUGGGUCUGCGUGUUAGGUGUCUGUGACAGCAUGGCACCUAGCACCAGCCACCCGCCCACACCAAACACCACACUGCUGCAUGAACAAGGGAGUUUGAAACUAGCUCAAGUAAGCCAGCGUGAGCUUUAGCACAUCUGCCUGCAGAGCAGACGCAUCCCAACGUACCACUUGCCUAAUUUUAAUAGAUGCGCUCUGUCUCCGUUCCCUAGGUCACUUCAAAACUGCAAAAUCUUGCUUAACGUAAGAUUCAAACUGGUCCCAAAACCAGAGGUGUCCAGAGACCGCCCUUCCUGCGGGUCCCCGCGGCUAUGGAAACUGAAGUUCACCAACUCCUGAGCAGUUACAUUUCUCCUUCAAAAUAGAUAAGAAAAUUGCAUCAACCUCUAUCUGAGCAACCAUGGCAACUUGUUAAAUUAGGUCAAGAUGUGGGGGCAGAUAACGCAGCUUUGAAAAGCUGCUCGCGAGCUGGGUGAAGAACACAUCAAACACAACUGGAGCUUCCGCCAAAAUGCACCUUCUCACCAAAGCAUGCGCCUCCUAGGGCAGAUACCAUCAGAGCUCUGCCACGGCUGUGAUAAAGCACAGUGCCACCUCCCAGGGCCACCAGCAAAACAGGCCCUCGGUAACAAAACCUGAACAAUGUUGUCAAGCUCCUAAAGCCAACACAGAGAGCCCUGGAGAAAAAGGAUGCCGUGACCGUCCAAGGCUUCGCUCUUCCACCUCUGCUCUGCACAUCCUAAAAUGGCACACUGAGGCACCUCGGGUUAUCUGUUGGGUGCUCCACCGGUUGGUGACCAGAUGCCUGGGGUUGGACAUGCCCUCACCUGGGUGAAGAAUGGAAACCAGGGGUCCUGGCUGCUUUGGGACCCAGUGCUGGUAAUCCCCUGGUCUACUCACUAGGCUCCACCUCCUCACCAGAGCUGGAAACACAGACUAGACUUGUAGUUCCUCUGCUCUAGCCAGUAGACAGCACUUCCUCCCCUGAGCAAAGUAAAAGCAAAGUGAAGAACCAAGGAGCUCUGCCCGAGAGUCCUCACGCCCCUCGCUCAGCUGCACCGAGAGAGAGGUCCAGCACUUCUCCCCCAGCCAUUCUGGAUAUCUUUUGCAGAACGACCCUAAUCCAAAGCCGUGCUGAGGGGGCCCAGUUCUCCUAUGGUUUCUAUCGUGUUAUCCCUCGCUCUCACUGUUACCUGUUUUCACAGCAACCUGGCUUCACUUUGCUCCCGUCCUGCGCUCCCUUGGCACAGGCAGGGGGAGGCGCA